GUAUACGGAGGGUGCAAGCGUUACUCGGAAUCACUGGGCGUAAAGGGCGCGUAGGCGGAUUAUCAAGUCUCUUGUGAAAUCCAACGGCUUAACCGUUGAACUGCUUGGGAAACUGGUAAUCUAGAGUGGGGGAGAGGCAGAUGGAAUUGGUGGUGUAGGGGUAAAAUCCGUAGAUAUCACCAAGAAUACCCAUUGCGAAGGCGAUCUGCUGGAACUUAACUGACGCUAAGGCGCGAAAGCGUGGGGAGCAAACAGGAUUAGAUACCCUGGUAGUCCACGCCCUAAACGAUGUAUGCUAGUUGUUGGGGUGCUAGUCAUCUCAGUAAUGCAGCUAACGCAUUAAGCAUACCGCCUGGGGAGUACGGUCGCAAGAUUAAAACUCAAAGGAAUAGACGGGGACCCGCACAAGCGGUGGAGCAUGUGGUUUAAUUCGAAGAUACGCGAAGAACCUUACCUGGGCUUGAUAUCCUAAGAACCUUAUAGAGAUAUGAGGGUGCUAGCUUGCUAGAACUUAGAGACAGGUGCUGCACGGCUGUCGUCAGCUCGUGUCGUGAGAUGUUGGGUUAAGUCCCGCAACGAGCGCAACCCACGUAUUUAGUUGCUAACACUUCGGGUGAGCACUCUAAAUAGACUGCCUUCGUAAGGAGGAGGAAGGUGUGGACGACGUCAAGUCAUCAUGGCCCUUAUGCCCAGGGCGACACACGUGCUACAAUGGCAUAUACAAUGAGACGCAAUACCGCGAGGUGGAGCAAAUCUAUAAAAUAUGUCCCAGUUCGGAUUGUUCUCUGCAACUCG
RNAcentral lists this ribosomal RNA (795 nucleotides) under uncultured Campylobacter sp. RNAcentral describes it as "bacterial SSU rRNA". It matches the Rfam family "Bacterial small subunit ribosomal RNA", at positions 521 to 1314 of the family's 1533-position model. The record is from RNAcentral. Lineage: Bacteria; Pseudomonadati; Campylobacterota; Epsilonproteobacteria; Campylobacterales; Campylobacteraceae.